GGUCCCGCAGUGUAGCGGUUAUCACGUCGCCCUGUCACGGCGAAGAUCGCGGGUUCGAUUCCCGUCGGGACCG
Molecule: transfer RNA, 73 nt
Filed under: Streptococcus pneumoniae
Lineage: Bacteria; Bacillati; Bacillota; Bacilli; Lactobacillales; Streptococcaceae
Also listed under: 1 other name
Description: tRNA-Asp
Rfam family: tRNA
About the family: Transfer RNA (tRNA) molecules are approximately 80 nucleotides in length. Their secondary structure includes four short double-helical elements and three loops (D, anti-codon, and T loops).
Source: RNAcentral